Molecule: small RNA, 599 nt
Filed under: Histoplasma ohiense
Lineage: Eukaryota; Fungi; Ascomycota; Eurotiomycetes; Onygenales; Ajellomycetaceae
Description: hypothetical lncRNA
Source: RNAcentral
UCAAUUGUCACGUUUGUAUUUGAUGUUUUUUCACAACGUCAAACUAGAGUCAUGAUCAACUGGAUCCUCUUCUCCCGAAGAAGAGUGGGACUUCGAUGAUGGUAGAUCUUUUGAAGAUUGCAAAAUUGCAUUUUGACUAAGGUAAAAAAAAAAAAAAAAAACUAGGAUGAUCUUGUUGUGCUCCAGGGUUGUGUUAUUGAGUUGAACAGAAAAUUUAACGUUGCUGGGGAGGAGAUUGUGUAGUGGAGUUGAACUUCAACUCUUAUAUGAUCAUCCCCUUCUCCGGGCUGCAAUAAUUGAAUGCUAAACUAUGCACCUAGGCUUCCGGCAUCCAGCGUGUCUGUGAGCUAUAGCUUGCAAAUGGUGGAUAAGCUCUAUCCUGUCCCACUUGGCGGCUGUCUCGCGUCAUUGUGUUCGGUGAAGCGAAUUCUAGAACCACAGAGCUAAUGCUCUGGGUGCUCGUUUUGGAAGGCACAAGGAGAAAAUAAAAUAAAAAUAAAGGCAUGAACAAAGGAAUAUAAUUCAAACCUUCAAGCUAAGUAAGCAAGAAGCAGCGCAAGGAGAAGAGGCUACUCUUCAAUCCAUCUGCACAUGAGGAC